CAAAGGUGAGCCAGUACAGGAUGGACCCGCGUCUGAUUAGCUAGUUGGUAAGGUAACGGCUUACCAAGGCGACGAUCAGUAGCCGACCUGAGAGGGUGAUCGGCCACAUUGGAACUGAGACACGGUCCAAACUCCUACGGGAGGCAGCAGUGGGGAAUAUUGCACAAUGGGCGAAAGCCUGAUGCAGCAACGCCGCGUGAGUGACGAAGGCCUUCGGGUCGUAAAACUCUGUCCUCAAGGAAGAUAAUGACGGUACUUGAGGAGGAAGCCCCGGCUAACUACGUGCCAGCAGCCGCGGUAAUACGUAGGGGGCUAGCGUUAUCCGGAUUUACUGGGCGUAAAGGGUGCGUAGGCGGUCUUUCAAGUCAGGAGUGAAAGGCUACGGCUCAACCGUAGUAAGCUCUUGAAACUGGGAGACUUGAGUGCAGGAGAGGAGAGUGGAAUUCCUAGUGUAGCGGUGAAAUGCGUAGAUAUUAGGAGGAACACCAGUUGCGAAGGCGGCUCUCUGGACUGUAACUGACGCUGAGGCACGAAAGCGUGGGGAGCAAACAGGAUUAGAUACCCUGGUAGUCCACGCUGUAAACGAUGAGUACUAGGUGUCGGGGGUUACCCCCUUCGGUGCCGC
This 625-nucleotide ribosomal RNA is filed under the name uncultured bacterium. RNAcentral describes it as "bacterial SSU rRNA". It matches the Rfam family "Bacterial small subunit ribosomal RNA", at positions 202 to 849 of the family's 1533-position model. The record is from RNAcentral.